CAGCAGCCACGGUAAUACGGAGGGUGCAAGCGUUAAUCGGUAUUACUGGGCGUAAAGCGUGCGUAGGUGGUGGUUUAAGUCCGUUGUGAAAGCCCUGGGCUCAACCUGGGAAUUGCAGUGGAUACUGGGUCACUAGAGUGUGGUAGAGGAUAGUGGAAUUUCCGGUGUAACAGUGAAAUGCGUAGAGAUCGGGAGGAACAUCAGUGGCGAAGGCGGCCAUCUGGGACAACACUGACGCUGAGGCACGAAAGCGUGGGGAGCAAACAGGAUUAGAUACCCGCGUAGUCCCUGUCUCUUAUAC
This 301-nucleotide ribosomal RNA is filed under the name uncultured bacterium. RNAcentral describes it as "partial 16S ribosomal RNA". It matches the Rfam family "Bacterial small subunit ribosomal RNA", at positions 509 to 807 of the family's 1533-position model. The record is from RNAcentral.